RNAcentral lists this long non-coding RNA (554 nucleotides) under Brassica rapa (field mustard). Its description in RNAcentral is "long non-coding RNA (BRAP_LNC002049)". The record is from RNAcentral. Lineage: Eukaryota; Viridiplantae; Streptophyta; Magnoliopsida; Brassicales; Brassicaceae.
AAUUCAAAAUCAAAAUAAAUGGAUUAUUAAAAUCAAUCAAAUGGAUUUGCAAUAAAUUCAGCUUUAUAAUAAAACCAAGUAUAUAAAAAGUAAAACACAUUCAUAUUUCAUACGUUUAUAAAAGCUCUCCACAUAUCUGUUGUUAUUGUGGCUCUCACUUGAUUGGCAUGUUCUCUUUGCUGAUCCUGAGUUACAAGAAUUUCUUCAUCAUUGUUAUUAACUUCUUCGACAUCUUCUACAUCCUUAGACUCUUUUUCUUCAGUAAAAUUAUUUGUUCUAUAAAACUUUCGAAGAAAAUUAUUUACACAGACUUUACAUUCAAUUAAAAAGUAAAAAAAAUAUGUGCGUGCUUAGUGCAUCGUGCUUAGUGCAUCGUAAUAUUAGUUACAUGUGCUUAGUGCAUCUAAUAUGUUUGUAUGCAAGACACAUGUGCUUGUCAUGUUUCAAUAGAAGUUGGUGUUAUAAUAGAAUAUUGCAUGAUGAAAGUGCCAUGGCUUAUUUGAAAUUUUUGUUGUAUACGUGAGAUAUUAAACAUUUUUUGUUAGAGAAAAAUU